This 1435-nucleotide ribosomal RNA is filed under the name Lactiplantibacillus pentosus. Its description in RNAcentral is "bacterial SSU rRNA". It matches the Rfam family "Bacterial small subunit ribosomal RNA". RNAcentral also lists the same sequence under 2 other names. The record is from RNAcentral. Lineage: Bacteria; Bacillati; Bacillota; Bacilli; Lactobacillales; Lactobacillaceae.
UGCAAGUCGAACGAACUCUGGUAUUGAUUGGUGCUUGCAUCAUGAUUUACAUUUGAGUGAGUGGCGAACUGGUGAGUAACACGUGGGAAACCUGCCCAGAAGCGGGGGAUAACACCUGGAAACAGAUGCUAAUACCGCAUAACAACUUGGACCGCAUGGUCCGAGUUUGAAAGAUGGCUUCGGCUAUCACUUUUGGAUGGUCCCGCGGCGUAUUAGCUAGAUGGUGAGGUAACGGCUCACCAUGGCAAUGAUACGUAGCCGACCUGAGAGGGUAAUCGGCCACAUUGGGACUGAGACACGGCCCAAACUCCUACGGGAGGCAGCAGUAGGGAAUCUUCCACAAUGGACGAAAGUCUGAUGGAGCAACGCCGCGUGAGUGAAGAAGGGUUUCGGCUCGUAAAACUCUGUUGUUAAAGAAGAACAUAUCUGAGAGUAACUGUUCAGGUAUUGACGGUAUUUAACCAGAAAGCCACGGCUAACUACGUGCCAGCAGCCGCGGUAAUACGUAGGUGGCAAGCGUUGUCCGGAUUUAUUGGGCGUAAAGCGAGCGCAGGCGGUUUUUUAAGUCUGAUGUGAAAGCCUUCGGCUCAACCGAAGAAGUGCAUCGGAAACUGGGAAACUUGAGUGCAGAAGAGGACAGUGGAACUCCAUGUGUAGCGGUGAAAUGCGUAGAUAUAUGGAAGAACACCAGUGGCGAAGGCGGCUGUCUGGUCUGUAACUGACGCUGAGGCUCGAAAGUAUGGGUAGCAAACAGGAUUAGAUACCCUGGUAGUCCAUACCGUAAACGAUGAAUGCUAAGUGUUGGAGGGUUUCCGCCCUUCAGUGCUGCAGCUAACGCAUUAAGCAUUCCGCCUGGGGAGUACGGCCGCAAGGCUGAAACUCAAAGGAAUUGACGGGGGCCCGCACAAGCGGUGGAGCAUGUGGUUUAAUUCGAAGCUACGCGAAGAACCUUACCAGGUCUUGACAUACUAUGCAAAUCUAAGAGAUUAGACGUUCCCUUCGGGGACAUGGAUACAGGUGGUGCAUGGUUGUCGUCAGCUCGUGUCGUGAGAUGUUGGGUUAAGUCCCGCAACGAGCGCAACCCUUAUUAUCAGUUGCCAGCAUUAAGUUGGGCACUCUGGUGAGACUGCCGGUGACAAACCGGAGGAAGGUGGGGAUGACGUCAAAUCAUCAUGCCCCUUAUGACCUGGGCUACACACGUGCUACAAUGGAUGGUACAACGAGUUGCGAACUCGCGAGAGUAAGCUAAUCUCUUAAAGCCAUUCUCAGUUCGGAUUGUAGGCUGCAACUCGCCUACAUGAAGUCGGAAUCGCUAGUAAUCGCGGAUCAGCAUGCCGCGGUGAAUACGUUCCCGGGCCUUGUACACACCGCCCGUCACACCAUGAGAGUUUGUAACACCCAAAGUCGGUGGGGUAACCUUUUAGGAACCAGCCGC